ACACUUGGUGAACUCAUGUCCUGUUCAAAGUAGCUACGUGUCAUUCUGCCUGUAGCUACUGGAAGAGGAUCAGUUGUGUUGAUUUGAAGCUCUAUGAAACUUGUUCGCCUCCUUGAUCUUGCUCAGUCAGUAAGAGGGACCAUAUACAAUGUCUGUCCAUACACAGACAAACACACACACUAGAGUGUGCUGGAGGCUGGCUUACAGACAUGGAAUCUCCUGGUCACACACUGCUAGUCUCAGAGCCCAAGCCAUCUGCAAGCAUUCAUCUGUGCUACCUGGUAGACGUACCUUCUGAUGAAGAUGAGGGAGGGAGAAUAUCUGAAGAUGAUGAAGGUUCGGGAGGAGUGGAAAGAUGGUGUGGAGGCAGAGAGACGAGAUGGGCCCUCAAGAUAAAGACAGAAGAUGAGAGUUGUACCUGUACAGACGUUCCAAUUGCACAAGCCUGGAUUGUGGGAGUUGACACUCUGCCUAGCAACAGGGCAAAGCCAAGGACUGCUUGUGUUAUUGAGUCCCUCCCAGCACUCAUCUCAAGGUAACCCUGCAUGGACAACUUGUCAAAAUACAGAUUCCCAGGAGCUGUCGUUAUCCCAAGGCUACAUAACGGAAACUGAAAGGGUCAACACGAGCGAGAAGACGACAGACAAACGAAACCUUUUGAGAUUAGAGAGAAAGCGAGCGGGAGACAAUCUGCAAUUCACCCGUGACGAAGAGAACACCCAUCCCUGUGCCAAGAUAAAGCCGUCUCCAUCUUCACCUCUAUCCGUGCCUGACGACCCUCUUCGGGAGACCUCCCCGUCGACCGCUCCUUCAGAGCAGAUCGCCGGGCGCCGAGCCCCGCUCCCCACCGUCUCAAUGAAGGAGCCCGACGCGAUAAAGCUCUUCAUUGGGCAGAUCCCGCGGAACCUGGAGGAAAAAGACCUGAAACCCAUCUUCGAGCAGUUUGGAAAGAUCUAUGAGCUUACAGUGAUAAAGGACAAGUACACGGGCAUGCACAAAGGAUGUGCCUUCCUCACGUACUGUGCCCGCGAGUCCGCUCUGAAGGCCCAGAAUGCAUUGCAUGAGCAGAAGACGUUACCGGGGAUGAACCGGCCCAUCCAGGUGAAGCCUGCUGACAGUGAGGGGAGAGGAGAAGACAGGAAGUUGUUUGUGGGGAUGCUGGGAAAGCAGCAGACGGACACUGACGUGAAGAAGAUGUUUGAGGCCUUUGGCAGCAUAGAGGAGUGCACCGUGCUCCGGGGCCCUGACGGUACCAGCAAAGGCUGUGCAUUUGUGAAGUACCAGAACAACGCCGAAGCCCAGGCAGCCAUUAGCUCAUUGCACGGGAGCCGAACUCUACCGGGUGCCUCAUCCAGUCUGGUGGUGAAGUUUGCUGACACGGAGAAGGAGCGAGGCAUCCGCCGCAUGCAGCAGGUGGCCUCCCAGCUGGGGGUCAUCAGCCCCAUGAGCCUCCACCUCGGGGCCUACAACGCCUACACUCAGGCCGUGAGCAACAAUGCCUACACUCAGGCCGUGAGCAACAACGCCUACGCACAAGCCUUGGUCCAGCAGCAAGCUCUGGUGGCCCAGUCGGCGUACUUGUCUCCCGUGGCAACGGUUGCCUCUUUGCAGAUGCAGCAGCUGGCGGCCCUCAAUCCCAACAGCAUCAUCGCCACACCUAUCGGCACGCCACUUGGCACGCCACUCGCGUCAAUCACUCCUUCCUCAGGAUCAUGUGGCUGUGAGGUGAAUGACCUGCAGUAUUUCUCCGCCAUGUGUGCAGGUACCAGCACGCCUCCAACCAUUGCAGCUACGGCCGUCUCGGCCAUGCCUCCUCCACUCACAGUCAAUAGCUACCCUCCUGCACCGCCCAAUGGGCAGUCAGCCACUGAGUCGCUCUACACCAAUGGGGUGCAUCCAUACCAAGCUCCGAGCCCUGUGCUGGACCCCCUCCAGCAGGCCUACGCUGGCAUGCAGCACUACACUGCCACGUACCCCGCUGCAUACGGAUUGGUCGGACAGCCGUUCCCCCACCAGCCCACCCUCGUCGCCCAGCAACCACAACAGCAGCAGCAACUGCAGCAGCGUGAGGGUAAUCAUGGUUACUACCUGUCCAGGCAGACCCCACUCACAGCAACUUCUUAUCUGAGUCCAGAGGGUUGUAAUAUCUUCAUCUAUCACCUGCCUCAGGAGUUCACUGACUCUGAGAUGCUGCAGAUGUUUCUGCCUUUUGGCAACGUCAUCUCGGCCAAGGUGUUCGUGGACCGCGCCACCAACCAGAGCAAGUGCUUUGGCUUCGUGAGCUUCGACAACCCGGCCAGUGCCCAGGCUGCCAUCCAAUCCAUGAACGGCUUCCAGAUCGGCAUGAAGAGGCUCAAGGUGCAGCUCAAACGACCCAAAGACGCCAACCGGCCCUACUGAGCGUGACGGACAGAGAGAAAGGGAGGAGGAAACGGUGAAUGAGGCUGCCCUGUCCAAUCAAACAGGGUGUGGAGACCACGGCGCUAUGGCUACGGUUACCUAGCAACUAAUAAAGAUUCCCCCUUCUUCCUCUCACAGCGUUGAGGAACAGGACCAAAUGAGGAGUUCAGUGUGGAGGUCUGUCUCUCCUCUGCUGUUUUAAAACAAGGGACCAACUGCUCAGCAAACCAAACCCCAUCUAGCUUCAUGCAUAGGACUAGAAAACUCCAACUGUUCAGAACCCAAUGCGACUGAAGAACACAGGACCAACCCACUACCCUUAAAGCGUAAUGUCAAAAAAAUGUAAAUGAAAAAUAAAAAAAACAAACAAGUACAAUAGCACAGCACACAGCCUAACCCACAACUCUGCCUAAGACGGGCUUGCCAACCCAACUCAUAUCCUGUGAGCAGGCCCCCUCAAGCUUAGAGAGAGAGAGCCAGCCAGACCCAAACAUAUACAGGAAUAGAAAUGCACUGCUCCGCUCAUUCCCACAGAUGGCGCUGUGGGCAUCAUAACUGCGUUUUAUUAAUACCAUUAUUAUACCACUGCCAGAGUCCGUUAUACAUGUAUAUAGAUACGGAGGGGUAUCAUAUGAGGGUGGGGGUGGGAAGGAUAUCAGUUACUUAUGAUAUAGGGCGGGCAAAGGGUGGGGGGAGGGUAGGUGGGGAUGUGGCUCGAGAGACUUUGGGUUUUACUUCCUGUUUUACCUUAACAACUACUGCAAAGCAGUGUGGGUAACCAGGUGGGCAGUAUCACAGUAGACUCUACCCAUCCUGGCAGCCUGAAGGGUUGGUUUGUGGAUGGGUGUGUGAGACACGUGCACAGAUGGGGCAGGAGGCAGAGGGUAAAAGGAGUUGAGAUCAGGUGUCUGAAUAUUGUCGGCAGUAGAGUUAGUUUUUCAAUUGGUGGAAGUUGUUGAGAACAGUGAUUGGGAUGGGGAAACCUAUCAGAAAAUAUCUAACUGUAUAUAUAUCAUGUUUUAAAAAUCAAAUAAAAAAAAAAAGCAUUUGGGCAAAUUUUUUGAAUAUAUCAUAAUUAUGAUUUUAUUAUUAUUGCUCUAUUUAAUAUUUAUCAUUAAGUGGUAGAUGUUUUCUUUUUUUAUUUACUUUUAAUUAAUUUAUUUGUUCCUGAAAUAUCUGAGAUUUAAAGAAUCAAUCUUUUUUUUUAGAAUAUAAUCUUUAUUUCUAGUUAUGAUUACGACAUAUUAAGCCUAAUGGUUCUCUAUUUAUUUAAUUGCUGUUUUACAUGUUAAUUAAAAAAAAAGCUAAAUAAAAAUAUGAAAAUUA
RNA transcript from Clupea harengus (Atlantic herring), 3726 nucleotides. It is a transcript of the gene named cugbp, Elav-like family member 3a, with no coding region annotated. The record is from RefSeq and is a predicted model, not a curated record. Lineage: Eukaryota; Metazoa; Chordata; Actinopteri; Clupeiformes; Clupeidae.